RNAcentral lists this long non-coding RNA (2923 nucleotides) under Solanum tuberosum (potato). RNAcentral describes it as "long non-coding RNA (STUB_LNC010419)". Lineage: Eukaryota; Viridiplantae; Streptophyta; Magnoliopsida; Solanales; Solanaceae. The record is from RNAcentral.
GACUUUGUGCUUUAUAAAUUGCCAGAGACGUAUUAACAUGUGGAUUCCUUGGCAUUGAUUACUGGAAGUAAUACUGAGACUGAAGCUCUUAAAGACAGGUACUCACCUCAUACAGGGAAUGCAAAGUCAGUAGAGGGAGCAAAUUUGGUAUCGGGACCUUUUUUCAAUGCUGAAAACAAGGCGUUCGAUGAAAUGUCACACACAACAGUGAGCUUUGAAAUUCAUGAUCUUUAACGCUAUUGUCCAUGAGGGAGAAACUUUGCAACUACAGUGCGACGAUAGCUUCUGUGUAGAUGUCAGCUUGAAUACGAAGGUGCCUACUGCGAUGUUAGAUGAUACGAAAGAAUCUAAUACUGAGGAGGAGGACAACCCAUGAGAUAAUGUAGCUUUGUUUGACAAAUGUCCUAAACGGGAUACAUCGGGGUUUUCUGGUUCCUUUUUCUAGCCAAGGUUCUGUAAUGUUGAAUGUGAGUAUGCAAAUUACUGCAAUCGAAUAUCCAUUUAUGGUUUCUAAUGGGAUCACACUAUUCCUUGUUUGCAUUAUUCUCUUGAAGAAAUGUGUGGGGGUAAACAAACUAGAGUGCCGCCUUACCUUGACUUUAGCUUACACAAAUGCAAUUGGGUUGAUACUGGGCAGGAGUGCAAUCUUCCUUGUUUCUUGUCGUCUAACUUGAGAGGGUGUGGUAGUGAGGAGAAAAUGGAGGAAGUACUCUAGGUAAAUUGUUGUAAGUUCCUCCAAGCAGUCACCAUAUACUUGAGCUGUUAGGCUCUUGUUUGCUAUGUUUGUUCUAGUCCAUAAAGCAAGGGUGACUUCGUCGUAUAUUGUCUUUGAUCCUGGUCCUUUUCUUGAUUAUGUCACAAUCUAUGCAAUAGACUCCACUUUUGGAGAUGGAAAAUCUAUAGAGGAGAGUGCUGUAACAGUACUAUUUGAACGCCCAGGUGUGAAGUUUCCUAUUGGGCAAGUACUCUCUGUGCAAAUUGGUAUCAUUUUUCCAUUAGGAAUCUGAUGUCAUACUAUAGAUGGUUCCUUUUGUAGUCCUGUGGACAAUUGGCUCGACACUGUGCAGGAUGAUAUAGGUGGUGCAUUGAUUGCUAAUGAAUCUUUAAAUUGGUUAUACUGCAAAGUUGUAUGAUUGGGGGUGUGUCGAUGGAGUUGAAAUUGAUAUUCAAAGCUAUGGUGCUUUCAACACUUCUUUUGCAAGUUACAAACUACUAGGAGAGUUUAUAGAGAAUUCAUUGAUGUGUCUUUAUAAUGGUGUUACUACUGUUUUGGUGCAAUUCAAUGCACCAGUGGUACAAUCUGAUAUAUCUGCUAAGACGAACCGUGACAUUCUAAUUUUUUCUCUUGGACAUGAUACUUUGUUGGAUUGGAUAACAAGGCCAGGGACGGAUUCAUUAAGGGAUUUGCCACACUCUACACCUGUUGUGAAGAGUGAAGAGGAAGAUAGUGGUGAAGCGAUUGGCAAAAAGAUGAUAAUUUCUCUAGUGAGGAAAUUGGAAUAUUAUGAUGCUGCUAUACUUAAGAUUCCGACAUUUGUUCAUGUCACAACUACAGUGCGACGAUAGAUUCUGUGAAGAUGCAGUAUGGUCGUGUUGAACUCCUAUUUUGACAUACAACACUCUUUUGAUUUAUACAUUAGGAUUCUUUCUGAAGGGACAAGGACGACCACUACAAAUAGAAAUCAACAACCAUUCUUCUGUCAAACUCGUCACUACAAAGGAUUGAUUUCACCAAAUGUAUUUUUGCUGCCCAACGUUGAAAUGAUGAGGUAUCAUAUUAAAAUCUGUUUGAUCCAUUUGUGAAUCUGGUCAAAGCUAACAGUCUUGUAGAAUAUUAAGUAUCUGUUCAAACCUUAUAGUCUUGAUGAAAUAUGAUGUUUGUCAUUUAUACACAUAUAUAUAAAAAAGUAGCAUACAUGUAUAUGAUACAUAGUGACCUGAAUUAGAUACAUCGAUCUAUUUCCGAAUUAACAUAUCUGAUGCAUCCGUUUUCAGCAUACAUAUAUUGUAAUUUCGGUUUUCUUGUAUCUAUUAGUUGGAUUAGUGAAUAGUAGUGGCUGGUAUUUUUUUUGUUCUCCUACCCGGUGUCCAGCCUCACUCCCUGGGCUAUUUGAACUAGACCAUGGACAGCAGAGGAAAAUAGGCAUGGUGAUCUUCUCAACAAAUAUCUUUAUCUUUCGUAAGAGUUGAUAUGAAGCAUAUUGAAAAGACAAUCCAUUACCCAAUUGGUUCUGGGAUGGUAAGAUUUUUACCAGACCUUAUGUUAUCAUGUAGGUUUGCUGAGGUUUAUAAUAAAUAGUGCAGCUUUUAGCAAGUGUUAUCUGUCUCUGUCCAUCUGCAUUUGGCUCCAAUAAACGUUGGUUACAUUUCUUUGAGUUAUUUGUACCAGUAACUGGUUUAUGAAUGAGUGCUCUUGGAAUAUCCCAUGACUAAGUGACCAUUUCAAUGCACCAGUGGUACAAUCUGAUAUAUCUGCAAAGACGAACCGUGACAUUGUCUUUUUUUCUAUUGGACAUGAUAUUUUGUUGGAUUGGAUAGCAAGGCCAGGGACAGAUUCAUUAAGGGAUUUGUCACACUCUACACCAGGGACGGAUUCAUUAAGUGAUUUGCCACACUCUACACCUGCUGUGAAGUGUGAAGAGGAAGAUAGUGGUGAAGCGAUUGGUAAAAAGAUGAUAAUCUCUCUAGUGAGGAACUUGGAAUAUUAUGAUGCUGCUAUACUUAAGAUUCCGACAUUUGUUCAUGUCACAACUACAGUGCGACGAUAGAUUCUGUGAAGAUGUCAGUAUGGUCGUGUUGAACUCCUAUUUUGACAUACAACACUCUUUUGAUUUAUACAUUAGAAUUCUUUCUGAAGGGACAAGGACGACCACUACCAAUAGAAAUCAACAACCAUUCUUCUGUCAAACUCGUCACUACAAAG